This is an RNA transcript of Oxyura jamaicensis (ruddy duck), 1001 nucleotides long. It is a transcript of the gene named small nuclear ribonucleoprotein U11/U12 subunit 25, with no coding region annotated. The transcript is spliced from 8 exons. The record is from RefSeq and is a predicted model, not a curated record. NCBI's taxonomy places the organism in Eukaryota, Metazoa, Chordata, Aves, Anseriformes, Anatidae.
GCCUCUUCCGCCUCGGCGAUGGCGGAGGCCGAGGAGGAGCUGGCGCACGCCGAGGUGCUGGAGCUCUUCCAGGAGGCGCUGGCGCGGCUGGUGCAGGACCCGCUGCUCUGCGACCUCCCGCCGCAGGUGACGCCGGAGGAGAUCGGCUCUCAGGUGGCGCUGGAGUACGGGCAGGCCAUGACGGUGCGCGUCUGCAAGGCGGACGGCGAGACCAUGCCCGUGGUGGUGGUGCAGAACGCGACCGUGCUGGAGCUGAAGAAGGCGCUGCGGAGGCACGUCCAGCUGCGGCAGGCGCGGCAGGGCGGCGCCCAGCACCUCAGCUGGAAGUACAUCUGGAGGACGUACCACCUCACCUACGCCGGAGAGAAACUGGCAGAUGACAGAAAGAAGCUGAGAGAGUAUGGCAUCAGAAACCGGGAUGAGGUCAGCUUCAUUAAGAAACUUCGAAAGUAACCUGUCAGGGCAGGGAAUGAUGAUUCAGCUACUUCAGUUAACAAACCACAUCAGGAGCAGCAGAAGCAAUAGCUAAGUGCUAGCAAUGGUGCAUCUCUAACCCCUACAUUACACACUUGAUGACUCUCUGGAAAUCACUGUCAGAAAUGUGGCAGGUUGUUAACUAAUGCCUAGGAAGAUGAGGUCUCUCUGUUAGAGGUGACUGCCACCAUCCAGUUCAUUUGAUCCUCCUGUGAGUCUCAUUAUACCCAAGUGACUCUUCCACCUGCUCCUAAUGCUCCUAUACCCUUCAGAGCACCUGCAGUUAACAGAAGUGUCCCAUGGGUGCACAUACAUAAACACAAUGAGAGCAGAGAAUCCAGCUCUACCACGACCAGGCACUGGAUCCAGCACUCCCCUACAGGAAAAGAUGGUACCACUUCCCAGAGAAGCAAACUCCAGUUGAACAGAAAUUCCUACGUGUUUUCAAAGUCCUUGUUCAAAAUGUUUUCCUCUGAGCUGUAUGCUGAAUGCACUAUCAGUGAUUAAAGAGACUCUAGUUUUCUGAA